Long non-coding RNA from Oncorhynchus tshawytscha (Chinook salmon), 1878 nucleotides. The record is from Ensembl. Lineage: Eukaryota; Metazoa; Chordata; Actinopteri; Salmoniformes; Salmonidae.
CUCUCAUUCAUAUAUCUUUAUGUACAUAUUCUUCAUCCCUUUACACUUGUGUGUGUAUAAGGUAGCUGUUGUGAAAUGAUUAGGUUAGAUUACUUGUUAGAUAUUACUGCAUGGUCAGAACUAGAAGCACAAGCAUUUUGUUACACUCGCAUUAACAUCUGCUAACCAUGUGUAUGUGACAAAUAAAAUUUGAUUUGAUUUAGAGUUGAUGUAGCUGGCAAGGUAAUAGCAGGUAGACUUUAGCCAGCCCAUGUGGCUCUGCUUUCUAGAUGCUGUGGUUUGGUCCCCUAUGACCCUGCCCAGUGUUUUUCAGAGGUUUUCCAGUUCAAGUUUAUUAUUACCCACAUUGCAUUCAACACAUACUACAAACCAUGGUCAUAUACUGUAAUAUGUAAAUAUCUAAUGACUUUUGAAUUAAUUAAUACAAAUAUUUUAAUUGAGGAAUAUUCUGUACCUGUAUAUUGGAAGUCAAUCCCUCUUGGAUGUACUGUAAGUGAAAGGAGGCUGGUCUAUGCUGGAUGUAUGUUUAGGUGUGUGUGUGUGAUCCCCAAGGUCGGGGGCAACUCUUGUGGCGUCAUCUAGGCACACGUUCACAUCACACACACACCCCCCGUCUCUCCGUUCCAGCGCUCCUCUCGUUCAUAAAAGGGUUAAUGAGAUCUGUCAUCACCCCACACACACGGUUUAUUAUCAAAGGGUUCCUUCCUGUGUUGGGUAAAAAUAAUCAUGCAAUUCCACAGACAUAAAUGUCCACUGGGGUCCUGGGCGGUCCUAAACGAAUGAUUGUUUUCACUGGGUUCCUUUGGGGUAGCAACCAGGCAGUAUAGGGGGGUUUGAGGAAGUGACUUAGCCUUUUAGGUCUUCAGACAGGAAUCAUAGCUACCAUCACCUUCAGUCCCCUCACUUUUUACCCCAACAUGCCACAUUGUGGUUUGUAUUGCUCCCAGAACCAUUCCCUUUUACUGUUUUCUGCUCUUCUCUUACUACAGCCUCCAUCCCAAGAAUAGCUGAACAUUGGACUCCAGAGGGUCGGCCCCAAGACAUGGUGGUGGAGAAAAAUGGAGGCAGAGCUCCAACAACAUCAGCAGAGCUGGGGCACGGUGGAGAAGAUGGCCAGAGACAGACAGAAGGGGAGAGCCUUUGUUGCUGCCCUAUGUUCCAGCCGGCAUGACGGGGGAUGUGGUGUGUUUUUGGUAUUCCAGAGACCCGAGCAACAAGGCCUGAUUGGACAAACCAAAGAGCAUUCAAGCACCAACACCUGAGGUCGGUAUAGCCUAGAAAACCUGAUGGAGCAGCAUUGUGACGCGUCCUCCUUCCUCACAGAAGGAUCCAUCUCUUCUCCACGUGGCCCAAGAAACAGACAAAAAAGUGUGUCACAGUCAGGCCCAGAUGCCUCACGCAGGUGAGCGAGGUGUCCGGGGGAAAUGUCGACCUCUCCUGCAGUCGUUUGGAGUGAGACUCAAGCAAGCGUCCAGAGUUGUCAAUAAAAGUUGGGCGCAUGGGAACAGAAGAGACCACCCUUUCUCCGCAACAAUAAAGAAGACUAAACAACUCUCCAAAUCACGAGGUAUUACUAAACACACGGGCACUGUCAGCACUGCCCAACGAAAGGAGCGAGUUUUGUGGUGUCUUCUUUGUUUUCACUCCCUUAAAAACCACUUUACCGCAUCUGUGUCGCUUUGUUAAAGUAGAACGUAAAUGAAGUAUAGGCCUGUAUUCACCUCCAUUUAAAAUAAUAAAACCAACAAACUGUAUCCUUGACUUUCAUGUGUGUUUGAUAUCCAAAAUAUAUUUGUAAUCUUUUUGAAAACGAAUGUUUGGGCAUUUUGGUGAAAUGAUAUCCCCAAACACAUUUGACUUGACCAUGCAUAAUACAAC